This 74-nucleotide transfer RNA is filed under the name Tetranematichthys quadrifilis. Its description in RNAcentral is "tRNA-Thr". It matches the Rfam family "tRNA". Rfam says of the family: Transfer RNA (tRNA) molecules are approximately 80 nucleotides in length. Lineage: Eukaryota; Metazoa; Chordata; Actinopteri; Siluriformes; Auchenipteridae. The record is from RNAcentral.
GCUCUAGUAGCUUAAACGCCUAAAGCGCCGGUCUUGUAAUCCGGAAAUCGAAGGUUAAAAUCCUUCCUAGCGCC